RNAcentral lists this ribosomal RNA (468 nucleotides) under uncultured bacterium. RNAcentral's name for it is "partial 16S ribosomal RNA". It matches the Rfam family "Bacterial small subunit ribosomal RNA", at positions 28 to 507 of the family's 1533-position model. The record is from RNAcentral.
GACGAACGCUGGCGGCGUGCUUAACACAUGCAAGUCGAACGGAAAGGCCCUGCUUUUGUGGGGUGCUCGAGUGGCGAACGGGUGAGUAACACGUGAGUAACCUGCCCUUGACUUUGGGAUAACUUCAGGAAACUGGGGCUAAUACCGGAUAGGAGCUCCUGCUGCAUGGUGGGGGUUGGAAAGUUUCGGCGGGUGGGGAUGGACUCGCGGCUUAUCAGCUUGUUGGUGGGGUAGUGGCUUACCAAGGCUUUGACGGGUAGCCGGCCUGAGAGGGUGACCGGCCACAUUGGGACUGGGAUACGGACCAGACUCCUACGGGAGGCAGCGGUGGGGAAUAUUGCAUGAUGGUCGGAAGCCUGAUGCAGCAACGCCGCGUGCGGGAUGACGGCCUUCGGGUUGUAAACCGCUUUCGCCUGUGACGAAGCGUGAGUGACGGUAAUGGGUAAAGAAGCACCGGCUAACUACGUG